AUGGCAAAUCUCACGCUGUACAUUGAUCACCUGUCCAACCUUUGCCUAGAGUGUGAUCCCCAGUUCCUUCAAGAGUUCCAUCUUUACCUGUCUAUAAAGAGGAGGAGGAGGAGGAGGAGGAGGAGGAGAGACAUCUGGGAUAACCACAUAUCAAAGAUUAACACCAGAGCAGUUGCCAGAGGAGCUGGAGAAAGAGGAGGAAAAAAUGCAGCACUGCAGAAUUAAGCUGAUAAUCUAUUGCAGUGGAUCUCCAAACAUAACCAUGACAUCCUGGAGCAGAUCAUAGAAACAGAAGAUGAAUGCUGAGGUUGUUAACAGAUGAAAUGCUGCAUAAAUUGGUGUCUUCUCCAUUAUUUCUUGUAGUCAUUAUGAAGUCAGAUACUCUGGAAAAUAAUGAAGGGGACUCAAUCAGAAAUUACAAGAACUUCAUUUCCACCUUUAAUGGGUCUUGUGUUCAGAAUAUUAUUAUUUAAUGAAGUUCAGUUAAAUGGAUUCUUUUAACCAAUUUUGAUAAAUUGGUAUUGAUUUUUAAUGUGUAAUUCAGGUUCUGUUAGGUGCAGUAUCUUCAUCUGCUGAUUCUGCCUAGCGUAUUCUACAGUAACACUUCUAAAGUGGACUAGAUUGUCAAAGAGGUAUUAGUACACUGUUAUAUAAUGGAGUCUGCAUUAAUCUCACCCCCAGUUAGAAGUGGGCUUUUCAGAAAAGUAAAAACUAAGCCUUUACCCUCCUCUGUUUUCUUAUAUCUACCGUUACUCAAAUAAUCACAUUUUGAUAGUGUAACGAGUAUUAACCUCUGGGCCAGGUUGGAAAUGAAAUCAAUUUUUGGUACUACUUGCUGUUGGCAAGGAUUAGCCUUAUGAAAAUAUGGUGUGUGUCUCUGACAAUGCAUGGGACAUCUAAAUUGAUCAUCAAUAAUUUACAUACCAAAUUUAUAUAUUAGUGGAUGGUAAAAGCUUGAGGUAUGUAUAUGUACAUAUGUGUAUACAUGCACACAUAUACUGGAGUGGAUCAACCUUUUAUCAUCCAAAUGCAUAUAGGUAUGUAUUAAUAAAAGCUGGGACUCAUAAAUAUAUCA
RNAcentral lists this long non-coding RNA (1075 nucleotides) under Chrysemys picta bellii (western painted turtle). RNAcentral describes it as "lncRNA (ENSCPBG00000021411.1)". The record is from RNAcentral. Lineage: Eukaryota; Metazoa; Chordata; Testudines; Emydidae.